RNAcentral lists this small RNA (984 nucleotides) under Pongo abelii (Sumatran orangutan). RNAcentral's name for it is "retained intron". Lineage: Eukaryota; Metazoa; Chordata; Mammalia; Primates; Hominidae. The record is from RNAcentral.
UUAGCCGGGCGUGAUGGCAGGCACCUGUAAUCCCAGCUACUCGAGAGCCUGAGGCAGGAGAAUCCCUUGAACCCGGGAGGCAGAGAUUGCAGUGAGCCGAGAUCACGCCACUGCACUCCAGCCUGAGCAACAAGAGCAAAACUCCGUCACAAAAAAAAAAAAAAAAAGUUCUCCUAGGAACUGUUUUCUGUGAAGAUAGUUUGAUCUUGUUUCAUUUUGUAGAGAUACGUCCAAGAAGAUUACAUGUAUGUGUUAUGUAGCUAACAUUUCCUCUAAAUGACGUACAUUUUUAGCAAACUUCUCUAUUUCCUGCUACCCCAAAUUAUAUUAUUUACUCCGCAUGUCCUGAGACCCUGGCAUGAGUUUGGAGCUGGUCUCUCUCUGAUUUGCAGUGAUUACAGUGGCGAGAUCUUGAACAACUGCUGCGUCAUGGAGUACCACCAAGCCACAGGCACCCUUAGUGCCCACUUCAGGAAUAUGUCCCUGAAACGAAUUAAGAGGUCAGACCGUCGUGGGGCAGAGUCGGUGACAGAAGAAAAAUUUACAAUCCUGUUUGAAUCCCAGUUCAGUGUUGGUGGAAAUGAGCUGGUUUUUCAAGUCAAGACCCUGUCCCUGCCAGUGGUGGUGAUCGUUCAUGGCAGCCAGGACAACAAUGCGACGGCCACCGUUCUCUGGGACAAUGCUUUUGCAGAGCCUGGCAGGGUGCCAUUUGCCGUGCCUGACAAAGUGCUGUGGCCACAGCUGUGUGAGGCACUCAACAUGAAAUUCAAGGCUGAAGUGCAGAGCAACCGGGGCCUGACCAAGGAGAACCUCGUGUUCCUGGCGCAGAAACUGUUCAACAACAGCAGCAGCCACCUGGAGGACUACAGUGGCCUGUCCGUGUCCUGGUCCCAGUUCAACAGGGAGAAUUUACCAGGACGGAAUUACACUUUCUGGCAAUGGUUUGACGGUGUGAUGGAAGUGUUAAAAAAACAUCUCAAGCCU